GACGAACGCUGGCGGCGUGCUUAACACAUGCAAGUCGAACGGAAAGGCCCUGCUUUUGUGGGGUGCUCGAGUGGCGAACGGGUGAGUAACACGUGAGUAACCUGCCCUUGACUUUGGGAUAACUUCAGGAAACUGGGGCUAAUACCGGAUAGGAGCUCCUGCUGCAUGGUGGGGGUUGGAAAGUUUCGGCGGGUGGGGAUGGACUCGCGGCUUAUCAGCUUGUUGGUGGGGUAGUGGCUUACCAAGGCUUUGACGGGUAGCCGGCCUGGGAGGGUGACCGGCCACAUUGGGACUGAGAUACGGCCCAGACUCCAACGGGAGGCAGCAGUGGGGAAUAUUGCACAAUGGGCGGAAGCCUGAUGCAGCAACGCCGCGUGCGGGAUGACGGCCUUCGGGUUGUAAACCGCUUUCGCCUGUGACGAAGCGUGAGUGACGGUAAUGGGUAAAGAAGCACCGGCUAACUACGUG
This 468-nucleotide ribosomal RNA is filed under the name uncultured bacterium. Its description in RNAcentral is "partial 16S ribosomal RNA". It matches the Rfam family "Bacterial small subunit ribosomal RNA", at positions 28 to 507 of the family's 1533-position model. The record is from RNAcentral.